Chelonia mydas (Green sea turtle) is the source of this 571-nucleotide long non-coding RNA. RefSeq lists it as uncharacterized. The record is from RefSeq and is a predicted model, not a curated record. NCBI's taxonomy places the organism in Eukaryota, Metazoa, Chordata, Testudines, Cheloniidae. The transcript is spliced from 4 exons.
UUUACCUAAAGGCUACAAUCACCUGGGGCUGCCAAGCGGCCUAAGCAAGGAAGGAGUCGCUCAGGUUGCCUAAGCUAAGUGUAACCUCUACCAUCACAUUAAACAUACUCAAGACCUCCUCAUCAGUACAAGAGCUAAAAGAGUUCGUGUUCUUUCUCUCCCUUAGACCUGACCAUCAAGAUAAGCUUCUAGUUCUGAGUGGGGGGAAAGGAAACAAAGAAAAAAAGACAACCAAGGCUGGUGCACAAAGGAGCAAGUUACCGUGUCUAGUUCAGCUUCCAGACUGCAGUUUUUAAUCUGUGGCAAUAAUUCCACAUACUGGUUUGGAUCUGUUGUUAUGUUACUGUGCAUACCUGAAAACGAUUGACAGGAAAAAAGAAAAGGAUUUCUGCUUGUUCAGUCUUUUCACCAGUAUUUUCUACCACCAGACUGAAGGUGGCAUGUUAGGAUUGACCCGUGAGUACAGAUCAGAGUACUUGCAUCUCUAUCUACUUCAACUGAGCCUGCAAUCUGAUACUCAGAUUUGUGCCCACAACUGAAAGGUACGUUUACAAAUGGAGUCCAUAAGUUC